AUUGAACGCUGGCGGCAUGCCUUACACAUGCAAGUCGAACGGCAGCGGGGGAGAAGCUUGCUUUUCCUGCCGGCGAGUGGCGAACGGGUGAGUAAUACAUCGGAACGUGCCCUGUAGUGGGGGAUAACUAGUCGAAAGAUUAGCUAAUACCGCAUAUGACCUGAGGGUGAAAGUGGGGGACCGCAAGGCCUCAUGCUAUAGGAGCGGCCGAUGUCUGAUUAGCUAGUCGGUGGGGUAAAGGCCUACCAAGGCGAGGAUCAGUAGCUGGUCUGAGAGGACGAUCAGCCACACUGGGACUGAGACACGGCCCAGACUGCUACGGGAGGCAGCAGUGGGGAAUUUUGGACAAUGGGCGAAAGCCUGAUCCAGCAAUGCCGCGUGUGUGAAGAAGGCCUUCGGGUUGUAAAGCACUUUUGUCCGGAAAGAAAUGGCUCUGGUUAAUACCUGGGGUCGAUGACGGUACCGGAAGAAUAAGGACCGGCUAACUACGUGCCAGCCGCCGCGGUAA
RNAcentral lists this ribosomal RNA (508 nucleotides) under uncultured bacterium. Its description in RNAcentral is "partial 16S ribosomal RNA". It matches the Rfam family "Bacterial small subunit ribosomal RNA", at positions 30 to 523 of the family's 1533-position model. The record is from RNAcentral.